This 621-nucleotide long non-coding RNA is filed under the name Homo sapiens (human). Its description in RNAcentral is "HSALNT0001696". Lineage: Eukaryota; Metazoa; Chordata; Mammalia; Primates; Hominidae. The record is from RNAcentral.
CGGCCGCGGGCGACUCCUGGUACCCCCGAGGCCCCGCGAACUCACCUUCACAAAGCUGUCGGCGUCCGGGAAGCCUGGCAGCACCAUCUCUCCGUCGGAUUUGGUUGCGCUGGUCGCCGACAGGACCCUGGGCUCCCGGGUACUGGGUGGCGCCAUUUUUUCAGCCUGCACGGCUCGUCUCGCGAGAGCUUGUCGGCCGAGGAGACGGGACGCGUGCGCACCACGCAUGCGCCAGGAGGGUGGGGCACCUGCGAUUAGGUUGGGAAGCCUGCGAUUAGGUUGGGAAGCCUGCGAUUAGGGUGGCACUUUCGAGCGCUCUGGUAAGCUCCUGAAGAAAGCGUCUAGCUCCAACUGUGCUUCCUCCCUCCAGUACCCUCUGAACUCCUCCAAGCAGACGUUGUUUCCUGCAGACAUCGCUGGAACCAUUCUGGUUAACACAGAGUGGGAACUCAGUACACAUUUGUGAAGUGAACUCCUGGAAGAGCUCUUGUGAGGGAGGCACCGAAUUAUCAGGCAGCUCAAGAGAUAGAUUCACUCUCCUGAAAUUAGAGAUGGGAUGCCCUUAAUACAAUUCAUUCCACCCAUUAAGUCUUCAAUAAAUGUUCAGCAUAUCCAGUUAAG